CCUACGGGAGGCAGCAGUGAGGAAUAUUGGACAAUGGGCGCAAGCCUGAUCCAGCCAUGCCGCGUGCAGGAAGACGGUCCUAUGGAUUGUAAACUGCUUUUAUACAGGAAGAAACACCUCUACGUGUAGAGACUUGACGGUACUGUAUGAAUAAGCAUCGGCUAACUCCGUGCCAGCAGCCGCGGUAAUACGGAGGAUGCAAGCGUUAUCCGGAAUCAUUGGGUUUAAAGGGUCCGUAGGCGGUUUAAUAAGUCAGUGGUGAAAGCCCAUCGCUCAACGAUGGAACGGCCAUUGAUACUGUUAAACUUGAAUUAUUAGGAAGUAACUAGAAUAUGUAGUGUAGCGGUGAAAUGCUUAGAGAUUACAUGGAAUACCAAUUGCGAAGGCAGGUUACUACUAAUAUAUUGACGCUGAUGGACGAAAGCGUGGGGAGCGAACAGGAUUAGAUACCCUGGUAGUCCACGCCGUAAACGAUGGAUACUAGCUGUUCGGAGNAUNUNGUGNGAGAGAGAGAGAGUAGUCCGACCGUGGUAGUAGUUCGUUCGAGAAGUUAGAAGUUAAGUUAAGUUAGAGGCGNGAGAGAGCGACGGACGACGACGAGGAGGAGGAG
This 610-nucleotide ribosomal RNA is filed under the name uncultured bacterium. RNAcentral describes it as "bacterial SSU rRNA". The stretch from base 1 to 527 matches the Rfam family "Bacterial small subunit ribosomal RNA", at positions 338 to 873 of the family's 1533-position model. The record is from RNAcentral.